UGUUUGGAGAGUUUGAUCCUGGCUCAGGACGAACGCUGGCGGCGUGCUUAACACAUGCAAGUCGAACGGUGAAGGGGCUGGCUUUGCUGGUCCUGGAUGAGUGGCGAACGGGUGAGUAACACGUGAGUAACCUGCCCCCUUCUUCUGGAUAACCGCAUGAAAGUGUGGCUAAUACGGGAUAUUCUGGGUCUGUCGCAUGGUGGGCCUGGGAAAGAUUGCGCUUUUUGGUGUUUUUGGUGGGGGAUGGGCUCGCGGCCUAUCAGCUUGUUGGUGGGGUGAUGGCCUACCAAGGCGGUGACGGGUAGCCGGCCUGAGAGGGUGGACGGUCACACUGGGACUGAGACACGGCCCAGACUCCUACGGGAGGCAGCAGUGGGGAAUAUUGCACAAUGGGCGCAAGCCUGAUGCAGCGACGCCGCGUGAGGGAUGGAGGCCUUCGGGUUGUGAACCUCUUUCGCCAGUGAAGCAGGCCUGCUCCUUUUUUGUGGGUGGGUUGACGGUAGCUGGAUAAGAAGCGCCGGCUAACUACGUGCCAGCAGCCGCGGUAAUACGUAGGGCGCGAGCGUUGUCCGGAAUUAUUGGGCGUAAAGAGCUCGUAGGCGGCUGGUCGCGUCUGUCGUGAAAUCCUCUGGCUUAACUGGGGGCUUGCGGUGGGUACGGGCCGGCUUGAGUGCGGUAGGGGAGGCUGGAACUCCUGGUGUAGCGGUGGAAUGCGCAGAUAUCAGGAAGAACACCGGUGGCGAAGGCGGGUCUCUGGGCCGUUACUGACGCUGAGGAGCGAAAGCGUGGGGAGCGAACAGGAUUAGAUACCCUGGUAGUCCACGCCGUAAACGUUGGGCACUAGGUGUGGGGGGCCUUUUCCGGGUUUUCCGCGCCGUAGCUAACGCAUUAAGUGCCCCGCCUGGGGAGUACGGCCGCAAGGCUAAAACUCAAAGGAAUUGACGGGGGCCCGCACAAGCGGCGGAGCAUGCGGAUUAAUUCGAUGCAACGCGAAGAACCUUACCAAGGCUUGACAUGUGCCGGUUUGCUCCGGAGACGGGGUUUCCUCCCUUGUGGGGGCUGGUUCACAGGUGGUGCAUGGUUGUCGUCAGCUCGUGUCGUGAGAUGUUGGGUUAAGUCCCGCAACGAGCGCAACCCUUGUCUCGUGUUGCCAGCACGUUGUGGUGGGGACUCGCGGGAGACUGCCGGGGUCAACUCGGAGGAAGGUGGGGAUGACGUCAAAUCAUCAUGCCCCUUAUGUCUUGGGCUUCACGCAUGCUACAAUGGCCGGUACAGAGGGCUGCGAUACCGUGAGGUGGAGCGAAUCCCUUAAAGCCGGUCUCAGUUCGGAUCGGUGUCUGCAACUCGACACCGUGAAGUUGGAGUCGCUAGUAAUCGCAGAUCAGCAACGCUGCGGUGAAUACGUUCUCGGGCCUUGUACACACCGCCCGUCACGUCAUGAAAGUCGGCAACACCCGAAGCCCGUGGCCCUAUGGGGAGCGGUCGAAGGUGGGGCUGGUGAUUGGGACGAAGUCGUAACAAGGUAGCCGUACCGGAAGGUGCGGCUGGAUCACCUCCUUUCUA
RNAcentral lists this ribosomal RNA (1563 nucleotides) under Actinomyces naeslundii. RNAcentral's name for it is "bacterial SSU rRNA". It matches the Rfam family "Bacterial small subunit ribosomal RNA". Lineage: Bacteria; Bacillati; Actinomycetota; Actinomycetes; Actinomycetales; Actinomycetaceae. The record is from RNAcentral.